Molecule: ribosomal RNA, 253 nt
Filed under: uncultured bacterium
Lineage: Bacteria
Description: partial 16S ribosomal RNA
Rfam family: Bacterial small subunit ribosomal RNA
Source: RNAcentral
UACGAAGGGUGCAAACGUUGCUCGGAAUUAUUGGGCGUAAAGCGCACGUAGGCGGCUUAGCAAGUCGGAUGUGAAAUCCCCAGGCUCAACCUGGGAACUGCAUCCGAUACUGGAUGGCUUGAAUUCGGGAGAGGGAUGCAGAAUUCCAGGUGUAGCGGUGAAAUGCGUAGAUAUCUGGAGGAAUACCGGUGGCGAAGGCGGCAUCCUGGACCGACAUUGACGCUGAGGAGCGAAAGCCAGGGGAGCAAACGGG